CUCUACACUAAUUUAAGUCUCAGAUAACACUGCCACAGCUCUUGGUUCUUUUCAACCAAAGUAGCGAUUGAUUGAUUGUGUCAGGCAGCCAGCGACUGAUUCAGGCUUAUAAAUCUUUUUGACCAGCUCAUUGAAAAGAAUUGGUUCAUUUAUCUAGGGCCUUGUGAUUUCCGUGAUGCAGAAAACGCGGACAGAAUCACGAAAUCCGGUCAUAAAAGCGGAAUUUACAGUAUAACAUGAAAUGUCACAGAAUUUCAGUACACUUAAAUCAAAUCGUGACAUAGACUAGUAUUUGUGAAUAUUAAAAUAUGAAUCCUGCAUGUUCUGUCUCUGUGUGAAUGAAUGUUGCAGACGCACACAUGACGUUCGUGGUGUUUUCAGCCUCUGCCGCCUCACACACAUGAACUUCAUCUCCAGAGCCGCUCUCAAAAUCACUUCAUGAGCAUUUUACAGUUUCAUUUGAGAAAAACUAUUGUCAUAUCAUAAACACGGCAGCCCGUCAAAAUAAAAGUUUGGUUUAACUUGAAGAAAUAGUGACAGAAAUAUAUUACUGUUGUACAGUAGAAUUUAGCUACGCCUCAAUGUACUAAUACUACUACUAAUAAUAAUAUUAUAUUAUUAUUAAACCUUUAUUCUUUAAGUAAUAAUCACAGUUUGUCUUCCAUGUUUUAAUUAUAACAGUAAAGCUCUGUUGUGCAGCACUUUAUUUGACAAAAAAAGUGUUUUUUCAUAUGAUUAAAAGAUAAAUUAAAUGAAUGUUUUAUGCCUUUAUUUGAGUGCCAGAAAAAUGAAAAUACACAACACAGAAUUUCUGAAAAAACAAAACAUUUAAUGGAAAUUUUGUUAUGUUUAUGAACUCAAUUAAUUAGACAUGCUUUUUGGUUUAUUAAAAUUUAAUUAAACCCUUAAAAUGGAAUCCAGACAACUAUAAACAGAAAACACAGAAUUUGGUAAAGAAUAAAACAGAAUUUGAGGGGGGAAAUAUUUCAUAGGGCCCUAAAAAUAUGUAAUUUUUGUUAAAGUUUAAAUAAAUUGUUGUUAAAUUGUAUAAGUUUCAUGAUUUCAAUUAAUUAGACAUGCUUUUUGAAUACUAAAAUUUAAUUUCACUAUGAAAGUGGAGAAAAAUAAAUAAAUGAACAGAAUCCAGAAAAAUUAAAACUGAAAAAACGGAAUUUGGAAAAAAAUAAAAUGGAAUUUGGGAAAAAAACAAAAUGGAUUUCAUAGGGACCUAUUUAUCCGUGAAUCUACGCAAAUACCACACAAUAUUCAAAGGCCCAAUGACUUUUCCAGUUGUUUGUGGUUUACUGGAAAUUUUUACUCACAAUUUCUACCCAAUUAGUUUCUUUUGAACUUGACAUAACUAGUAAAAUGCAUAUUCAUUGUAAAAUUGCUCAUUGCGUUUUAAAAUUUUAUGAAUUUACAUGACUUUUCCAGGUCUUAAAUUCACAUUUGCAAAGUUAGGCUUUCACAUAUAUCAUGUUUUUCAAGACCGUCGGAACCCUGGUUCUUCAAAGAGAAAGCAAACAGCUGUUAAUGGGGUGAAUUAAAAUAAAAUUGUAGUUGUUUUACCUUAUUUUAAUGCUUGUUUUAUCUUAUCUUAAAUCUCUUGUGGUUGAGAACCACUGCAUAAAGGGAAAUUAAUGUUAUUAAAAUCAUCUGGGUCCAAAAAUAAAACUAGUUCUUAAUAAGAUCCAGUUGUCAGUUCCCAAGCGGACUAGUAAGUGUCUGAUAAAUGACUACUUGUCUUUAGGAUAGCAAAACAAGAGAUUCCGCUGAGGAUCAAUAGAGGGCAGCAUGUGUCCAGAAAUAAAUGUGGGCAUCUCCCUAGGGAUAUUAUUUUUUUUCCACAUCGUCUGUGCAAGAUAGCUAUUCCUCUCUAUCAGAAGUAUCUACUUGCUUUCCUCCAAGGGUGAAGCGCUGUGAGCCAAACCAUAAAAUAAAUUCCCUGUAGACUUGAGGCACAAGGACCAUACAUCUUUGAAUAUGAAUUUUAGACAAAUUAAAAGUCCCAUACAUCUACAGGCCCCUGGAAUGAGCACCCCCACAGAACAGUCCGGAAACGGGAAGGAUUUAUAGAGGCUCCCAAAAGGAGGAGAAAACUCUCGCUCUCUACAUCUCCAAACGGAAACCACCUGGUGACAAAUUUAUCGCAGCUUGCUUUAUGACCAUCUUUACGUCUGAGUUAUGUCUGUUGUUAGCGUUGACGCAGACGGAGCUAAAUGACUGAUUCCUCACAGGAGGUUAACGCUCCGGUUAUAAACAACAGAAUCUGUAAAUGGUUUCUCUGGGUAUUUGAGCUGAAUGUAGUGAAGCGAGUACAUGUGAACAGGCUUAGACCUUCACUCGUAAUUCAUGUUAAUGAGAAACUGAGAAGGAACAAUUAAAACUAGAUUUUUUUUUUUUUUUGUGACCCAGCUAAAAAUCUGCAGACUUUGUUUUUUUUCAGGGUGGUUGCUAAGGUAUUCUGUGCAGUUUCUAAUGUGUUGCUAGCUGGUUGCUGCGAGAGUGUUUUAGAGUAUUUUUAGUUGCACAACAAUACAUGACAGUGUCAUCUGCAUAAAAGUGAAAAUUUGCAUCCUGAAUAUCACAAUCAAGACUGUUUAUGUAAAUAAAAGGGGACCCAACACAGACCCUUGGGGAACACCUUUAACAAUCUCUAAUAGUCCCGAUUAUUUACCUUCAGCCUGUACACACUGAGUUCUUCCACUGAAAUAGUUUUUAAAGCAGAAAAUAACAUGAUUUUGAAUUUGAAUUUACUUAAUUUGUGCAUUUGUUUUUACAUUGGGGUCAGGAAUUUUGUUUUUGAAUGUCUCUUAUGCUCACCAAGGCUGCAUUUAUUGGAUCAAAAAAUCAGUAAAUAGAAAAUUGUAAUAUUGUGUAAAAUUAUUGCAAUUUAAAAUAACUUUUUUCUAUUUUAACACAUUUAAUAAUGUAAUUUAUUCCUGUGAUCAAAGCUGAAUUUUCAGCAUCAUUACUCCAGUCUUCAGUGUCACAUGAUCCUUCAGAAAUCAUUCUAAUAUGAUGAUUUGCUGCUUAAGAAACAUUUCUGAUUAUUAUCAAUGUUGAAAACAGUUGUGCUGCUUCAUAUUUUGUGGACAUUUUUCUUCAGGAUUUAUGAGGAAUAGAAAAUUUAAAAGAGCAGCAUUUAUUUGCAAUAGAUUUUUUUUGUAACAUUAUAAAUGUCUUUACUGUCACUUUUCAUCAGUUUAAAGCAUCCUUACUGAAUAAAAGUGUUCAUUUGUUUUGAGAAAAAUAAAAAAUAAAAUCUUUCUGACCUAA
This is a long non-coding RNA of Ctenopharyngodon idella (grass carp), 3279 nucleotides long. RefSeq lists it as uncharacterized. The transcript has 2 exons. Lineage: Eukaryota; Metazoa; Chordata; Actinopteri; Cypriniformes; Xenocyprididae. The record is from RefSeq and is a predicted model, not a curated record.